Lathyrus oleraceus (garden pea) is the source of this 107-nucleotide small nucleolar RNA. Lineage: Eukaryota; Viridiplantae; Streptophyta; Magnoliopsida; Fabales; Fabaceae. The record is from RefSeq and is a predicted model, not a curated record.
AGUCCAUGAUGUGGACAAAGUCUCAUCAUGUCCUUGUACCUUUCCCAUGCUCUUAAAAGUGAUUCUCCAUCUUUCUGUUUAAAUCCAUUGAUUUGGCUUCUUAGCGU